AUAAAUAUUCUAUAUUUAUCUCACGUUCGACGCCUUCCCAUCGGGUCUACACUCGAGGCGCGGCAACCAAGCGGUUGCCGAUUGUCCAUACUUCGACCUGAGGAAAGUCCCCGGACCCACAAGCAGAAAGUGCAACCGGCCCAACGGCCGAUCGGCGCACUCUCGCCCUUCCGUGUCUUUCUACGGAGGUGACCAGGGGUCCCCCAACUCGGGCGUCUGUGAUCCGUCAGGACGGGCUUGUAGUGUUUGCCGACUGGUCCUAGAUAUAUAGUAUGUAAGGAAGGGUAGCCCGCGUCAAAACGGGAUAUCCCAACUUAAUGGGGCUUACGUUCGAACGUGAGACAGAAAAAUUUUUUUUAAAUUCAAAAAAUUUAUAUUCAUUUUAUAAUUUUAUUUUAUCGAAAUAUAUAACAUUUAAGAUUCUGAGUGAAACGAGG
This is a non-coding RNA of Cinara cedri, 437 nucleotides long. NCBI's taxonomy places the organism in Eukaryota, Metazoa, Arthropoda, Insecta, Hemiptera, Aphididae. The record is from the annotation of a GenBank genome assembly.